GAUGAACGCUGGCGGCGUGCCUAAUACAUGCAAGUCGAGCGAACAGACGAGGAGCUUGCUCCUCUGACGUUAGCGGCGGACGGGUGAGUAACACGUGGAUAACCUACCUAUAAGACUGGGAUAACUUCGGGAAACCGGAGCUAAUACCGGAUAAUAUAUUGAACCGCAUGGUUCAAUAGUGAAAGACGGUUUUGCUGUUACUUAUAGAUGGAUCCGCGCCGCAUUAGCUAGUUGGUAAGGUAACGGCUUACCAAGGCAACGAUGCGUAGCCGACCUGAGAGGGUGAUCGGCCACACUGGAACUGAGACACGGUCCUGGCUCCUACGGGAGGCAGCAGUAGGGAAUCUUCCGCAAUGGGCGAAAGCCUGACGGAGCAACGCCGCGUGAGUGAUGAAGGUCUUCGGAUCGUAAAACUCUGUUAUUAGGGAAGAACAAAUGUGUAAGUAACUAUGCACGUCUUGACGGUACCUAAUCAGAAAGCCACGGCUAACUACGUG
Molecule: ribosomal RNA, 497 nt
Filed under: uncultured bacterium
Lineage: Bacteria
Description: partial 16S ribosomal RNA
Rfam family: Bacterial small subunit ribosomal RNA
Source: RNAcentral